RNAcentral lists this transfer RNA (67 nucleotides) under Nylanderia flavipes. Its description in RNAcentral is "tRNA-Leu". Lineage: Eukaryota; Metazoa; Arthropoda; Insecta; Hymenoptera; Formicidae. The record is from RNAcentral.
UUUAAUAUGGCAGAUUUAGUGCAUUGGAUUUAAAUCCCAAAAAAAAAGAACUUACCUUUUAUUAAAA